AUUGAACGCUGGCGGCAUGCCUUACACAUGCAAGUCGAACGGCAGCACGGGUGCUUGCACCUGGUGGCGAGUGGCGAACGGGUGAGUAAUACAUCGGCACAUGUCCUGUAGUGGGGGAUAGCCCGGCGAAAGCCGGAUUAAUACCGCAUACGAUCUACGGAUGAAAGCGGGGGCCCUUCGGGCCUCGCGCUAUAGGGUUGGCCGAUGGCUGAUUAGCUAGUUGGUGGGGUAAAGGCAUACCAAGGCGACGAUCAGUAGCUGGUCUGAGAGGACGACCAGCCACACUGGGACUGAGACACGGCCCAGGCUCCUACGGGAGGCAGCAGUGGGGAAUUUUGGACAAUGGGCGAAAGCCUGAUCCAGCAAUGCCGCGUGUGUGAAGAAGGCCUUCGGGUUGUAAAGCACUUUUGUCCGGAAAGAAAUCCUUGGCCCUAAUACGGUCGGGGGAUGACGGUACCGGAAGAAUAAGCACCGGCUAACUACGUG
RNAcentral lists this ribosomal RNA (486 nucleotides) under uncultured bacterium. RNAcentral's name for it is "partial 16S ribosomal RNA". It matches the Rfam family "Bacterial small subunit ribosomal RNA", at positions 30 to 507 of the family's 1533-position model. The record is from RNAcentral.